This 1370-nucleotide ribosomal RNA is filed under the name uncultured bacterium. Its description in RNAcentral is "bacterial SSU rRNA". It matches the Rfam family "Bacterial small subunit ribosomal RNA", at positions 28 to 1381 of the family's 1533-position model. The record is from RNAcentral.
GAUGAACGCUGGCGGCGUGCCUAAUACAUGCAAGUCGAGCGAACGGACGAGAAGCUUGCUUCUCUGAUGUUAGCGGCGGACGGGUGAGUAACACGUGGAUAACCUACCUAUAAGACUGGGAUAACUUCGGGAAACCGGAGCUAAUACCGGAUAAUAUUUUGAACCGCAUGGUUCAAAAGUGAAAGACGGUCUUGCUGUCACUUAUAGAUGGAUCCGCGCUGCAUUAGCUAGUUGGUAAGGUAACGGCUUACCAAGGCAACGAUGCAUAGCCGACCUGAGAGGGUGAUCGGCCACACUGGAACUGAGACACGGUCCAGACUCCUACGGGAGGCAGCAGUAGGGAAUCUUCCGCAAUGGGCGAAAGCCUGACGGAGCAACGCCGCGUGAGUGAUGAAGGUCUUCGGGUCGUAAAACUCUGUUAUUAGGGAAGAACAUAUGUGUAAGUAACUGUGCACAUCUUGACGGUACCUAAUCAGAAAGCCACGGCUAACUACGUGCCAGCAGCCGCGGUAAUACGUAGGUGGCAAGCGUUAUCCGGAAUUAUUGGGCGUAAGCGCGCGUAGGCGGUUUUUUAGUCUGAUGUGAAAGCCCACGGCUCAACCGUGGAGGGUCAUUGGAAACUGGAAAACUUGAGUGCAGAAGAGGAAAGUGGAAUUCCAUGUGUAGCGGUGAAAUGCGCAGAGAUAUGGAGGAACACCAGUGGCGAAGGCGACUUUCUGGUCUGUAACUGACGCUGAUGUGCGAAAGCGUGGGGAUCAAACAGGAUUAGAUACCCUGGUAGUCCACGCCGUAAACGAUGAGUGCUAAGUGUUAGGGGGUUUCCGCCCCUUAGUGCUGCAGCUAACGCAUUAAGCACUCCGCCUGGGGAGUACGACCGCAAGGUUGAAACUCAAAGGAAUUGACGGGGACCCGCACAAGCGGUGGAGCAUGUGGUUUAAUUCGAAGCAACGCGAAGAACCUUACCAAAUCUUGACAUCCUUUGACAACUCUAGAGAUAGAGCUUUCCCCUUCGGGGGACAAAGUGACAGGUGGUGCAUGGUUGUCGUCAGCUCGUGUCGUGAGAUGUUGGGUUAAGUCCCGCAACGAGCGCAACCCUUAAGCUUAGUUGCCAUCAUUAAGUUGGGCACUCUAAGUUGACUGCCGGUGACAAACCGGAGGAAGGUGGGGAUGACGUCAAAUCAUCAUGCCCCUUAUGAUUUGGGCUACACACGUGCUACAAUGGACAAUACAAAGGGCAGCGAAACCGCGAGGUCAAGCAAAUCCCAUAAAGUUGUUCUCAGUUCGGAUUGUAGUCUGCAACUCGACUACAUGAAGCUGGAAUCGCUAGUAAUCGUAGAUCAGCAUGCUACGGUGAAUACGUUCCCGGGUCU